AUUAGCUCAGCUGGGAGAGCAUCUGCCUUACAAGCAGAGGGUCGGCGGUUCGAUCCCGUCAU
Molecule: transfer RNA, 62 nt
Filed under: Pseudomonas fragi
Lineage: Bacteria; Pseudomonadati; Pseudomonadota; Gammaproteobacteria; Pseudomonadales; Pseudomonadaceae
Also listed under: 1 other name
Description: tRNA-Val
Rfam family: tRNA
About the family: Transfer RNA (tRNA) molecules are approximately 80 nucleotides in length. Their secondary structure includes four short double-helical elements and three loops (D, anti-codon, and T loops).
Source: RNAcentral